RNAcentral lists this ribosomal RNA (253 nucleotides) under uncultured bacterium. RNAcentral describes it as "partial 16S ribosomal RNA". It matches the Rfam family "Bacterial small subunit ribosomal RNA", at positions 524 to 776 of the family's 1533-position model. The record is from RNAcentral.
UACGUAGGGGGCGAGCGUUGUCCGGAGUUACUGGGCGUAAAGCGCACGCAGGCGGUCUCCUGCGUUCGGAGUGACAGUCCUCAGCUUAACUGGGGAAGCGCUUGGAAGACGGGGAGACUUGAGGGCUCAAGAGGGACACGGAAUUCCGGGUGGAGUGGUGAAAUGCGUAGAUAUCCGGAGGAACACCAAAGGCGUAGGCAGUGUCCUGGGGAGUCGCUGACGCUCAGGUGCGAAAGCCAGGGGAGCGAACGGG